Molecule: long non-coding RNA, 265 nt
Organism: Macrobrachium nipponense
Lineage: Eukaryota; Metazoa; Arthropoda; Malacostraca; Decapoda; Palaemonidae
Exons: 3
Source: RefSeq, a predicted model, not a curated record
AAAUGAAAUUGUAUGUAGAUUGCUUGGAGCUAGAUGUCAGGCUAAAAGCACAGCAGUGGUUCAAGUCUUUGGAACAGAUGGCCCUCAUCAUAACAAGUGGCAGAAACGGCACUGUGGAGUUGCCACUUUCACUAAGGAUAGUGCACGCAAGUCUUAUUAUAUCCAGGUGUUUGAUAUUGAUGGCGAGUCUUGUGUGUUUGAACAGGAACUGUACUAUCAUUUCAAGUAUUCAGUUUCAAAACUUUCUUCCACCAGUUUGAAGCAG